GACGAACGCUGGCGGCGUGCCUAAUACAUGCAAGUAGAACGCACAGUUUAUACCGUAGCCUGCUACACCAUAGACUGUGAGUUGCGAACGGGUGAGUAACGCGUAGGUAACCUGCCUGGUAGCGGGGGAUAACUAUUGGAAACGAUAGCUAAUACCGCAUAAUAUUGAUUAUUGCAUGAUAAUUGAUUGAAAGAUGCUAUUGCAUCACUACCAGAUGGACCUGCGUUGUAUUAGCUAGUAGGUGAGGUAACGGCUCACCUAGGCGACGAUACAUAGCCGACCUGAGAGGGUGAUCGGCCACACUGGGACUGAGACACGGCCCAGACUCCUACGGGAGGCAGCAGUAGGGAAUCUUCGGCAAUGGACGAAAGUCUGACCGAGCAACGCCGCGUGAGUGAAGAAGGUUUUCGGAUCGUAAAGCUCUGUUGUAAGAGAAGAACGGGUGUGAGAGUGGAAAGUUCACACUGUGACGGUAUCUUACCAGAAAGGGACGGCUAACUACGUG
This 505-nucleotide ribosomal RNA is filed under the name uncultured bacterium. RNAcentral describes it as "partial 16S ribosomal RNA". It matches the Rfam family "Bacterial small subunit ribosomal RNA", at positions 28 to 507 of the family's 1533-position model. The record is from RNAcentral.